Molecule: non-coding RNA, 445 nt
Filed under: Brochothrix campestris FSL F6-1037
Lineage: Bacteria; Bacillati; Bacillota; Bacilli; Caryophanales; Listeriaceae
Description: Bacterial small subunit ribosomal RNA
Rfam family: Bacterial small subunit ribosomal RNA
Source: Rfam by way of RNAcentral
UUUAACGAGAGUUUGAUCCUGGCUCAGGACGAACGCUGGCGGCGUGCCUAAUACAUGCAAGUCGAACGAACGGAUAAGGAGCUUGCUCCUUUGAAGUUAGUGGCGGACGGGUGAGUAACACGUGGGUAACCUGCCUCACAGCUGGGGAUAACAUCGAGAAAUCGAUGCUAAUACCGAAUGUGCUGAAUAUCAUAAGAUGUUCAAGUGAAAGACGGUUUCGGCUGUCACUGUGAGAUGGACCCGCGCUGGAUUAGCUAGUUGGUAAGGUAAUGGCUUACCAAGGCAACGAUCCAUAGCCGACCUGAGAGGGUGAUCGGCCACAUUGGGACUGAGACACGGCCCAAACUCCUACGGGAGGCAGCAGUAGGGAAUCUUCGGCAAUGGACGAAAGUCUGACCGAGCAACGCCGCGUGAGCGAAGAAGGCCUUCGGGUCGUAAAGCUCUG